ACCGAGCGCGUCGCGCGAUGCACCAGCACCACUGCUUCACUGCACACCCGUUAACUGAACUGCUGGCGGUAAUGAGAAAGUUGUUUCCAAUGCAAUUGUGUAUUAUGUAGUCAUCAAAUUAGAGAACUCGUUCUAUAAUACUUUGCGACAAUUACAACACUUGACUGUAACUGCACUGCGGGAAAGUACUACAAUCAAUUAGGCCAUCAAACACCGGAAAAUAAUGUUUCUUUUAAAAAGCGCUACCUGCUUCAAUUUUCCGGGUUUGUCCAUGUCGAUAGUUAAGAUGACACGUGUCACAGCGGUGGUUACCGUAAACAGUGGAGUAUAUUUGCCUAAGAUGACGCCAUCCACGCAGAAGCCGCGUCAUCCGCAGAAUACGAAGGUCGCGUCAUCUUCGGAAAAUUUAAUAUAUUAUUAUGAAUAUUAACCGAAGCUGGGUUUGGUGCAAAGAGCAUUAUGAAGAAAUAGUGUCCUCUUAAUAUGCGUAGGAAGCUAAACCAGAAUUUGUGACAGACGUCUGUGAUUAAAGCCGCGGCACGCGAGCUUGGGGGCUUUGGGCACCACUAAAAUACCACCACCAAUGGACUGCCUUCGUGGUAUCGAUCCACUACACCACGACGAAAGCGGAGUCACACUAUAGCUACAUCACUUUGUAGAUGUUCUUUAACUUUCUUUGGAAUAAAGGCGAUUUUAGGGCAACCUUUCACGCCUAUGAGCUGGAUUAAUGGCCUGAAUGCCCUAAAUAACCGUGAGUUUAAGGUGA
Molecule: long non-coding RNA, 766 nt
Organism: Helicoverpa zea (corn earworm)
Lineage: Eukaryota; Metazoa; Arthropoda; Insecta; Lepidoptera; Noctuidae
Exons: 2
Source: RefSeq, a predicted model, not a curated record